RNAcentral lists this long non-coding RNA (936 nucleotides) under Equus caballus (horse). RNAcentral's name for it is "lncRNA (ENSECAG00000029710.3)". Lineage: Eukaryota; Metazoa; Chordata; Mammalia; Perissodactyla; Equidae. The record is from RNAcentral.
CUGAUACCGUCCUCUUUGCUCUGCCCUGCACAAUCCAUCUUUAGCCACAGCUCAUCCUUAAAGAAGCAAAUGGAAAACAGAUUGGACUUGAAGGGGUGGCAGUGAAAAUCCUUGGAGGAUGCAAUUGGACUCAAAACAAUAAGAGAGAUGAAAAUAGUUCUGUGAUAGAAGCAAAUCUGCCAAAACCAGUUCAGUGUUUUCAGUAAAGUAUUCCCGCACGCUCACCCACCUUCUUCUCAUCCUAGCCAGAGUGGUUUUUCAGAAAUUAAUAUCAAAUUAAAGCAGAACUACUCUUCCUACCAUUGUUGACCCUACUCCACACUCUACCCAGAUGAUGAAGAUCAGGGAUGUUGCCGGCUUUUAUUUUGUAUCACCCAUGUAUAGAAGUAUACCUGUGCACAGUAGAAUCCCAAAUAUAUUUUAAAUGAAAUUGUUGAAUGGAGACCAAAAUUUAAGAAGGCAGAAUUGGACAUGGCCAUCGCCUCGAGCUAAUGGAAGUCUUCAUGUUAUAACUCAUGAUUGUGAUGGAAACAGAUGUUCUUUUAACUCAAUAACACUAUGUUGGAGGACGUGCAUCAUUCUGAAGACGUGACCGUCAGUUGACCUAUGAGCUGGACCCAGGCAAUCAGAGGCUGCUUACUCCCUCCCCUGUCCUUGAAAUGUAUGUUCUGCCCACCAUUCCCAUAGUGGGAGCCAUUUACAAGGACAUAGGCUUGAGAAAGCAAUGUGUUGUUGAAACCACCUGGACAGGAUCCUUGACUCAACCCAGUUAAGGCCUCUACAUAAACUUUUAAGAUUCUGGUGGGCAGGUACAGAGACCUACUCAUCUUGCAACCGCCAAACCCAAGCCUCACAUGUAAGUUCCCUUGGUUAUUAAACCUGCCACCUGCCAAUCCGGAGUGUCUUGCCUCUUUCUUGGUUUCUCCUUACCCUCCG